RNAcentral lists this long non-coding RNA (1927 nucleotides) under Triticum aestivum (bread wheat). RNAcentral describes it as "long non-coding RNA (TAES_LNC008937)". Lineage: Eukaryota; Viridiplantae; Streptophyta; Magnoliopsida; Poales; Poaceae. The record is from RNAcentral.
GGGUGUGCGCACGCGGAGCAUACGCAUGCUUGGUUGAACUGUUACCAGGGGAGAGGGACCGGGUGGCUUUACCUAUGCCGGAGUCGGAGAAGAAGCGCCACCGGAGGCGCAGCGAGUGAGCGCCGCCGCAGGCAGAGCGGUUGCUCCCCGAAGGCACGACCGGCAACAACGCUGCGGUGCCCCUGUUGGCGGUUCGUCCGGAAAAGGUAGGAGGCGGUGGCGGCAGGAAAGAAUUGACGAUUUUAUUAUGUGUGCGGCGGCAUUUAAGAAUGAGUAAAACUGAGGCUAAACCGAGUCCUCUCAUUCAUCCUUACCUAUGAGCCAUCCGAUUUCGUGUUUGGGACAUCCAUGGUCGUCGGAUCUGAGUUUUGGUCGCGAAUUGGGCCGAGUGUCCUGUGGGCUGCUACUCUGGAAUUGUUUACCAAUACCGUCUAUGUUCCUCUGUUCAUGUAUCUCUGGCUCCUGUGAGUCUAUGAUCUGGUGGUAGUCAUUCCAUUAGAUGCAUCUGUGCUAAACGUACAGGGUGAAAUCACUUUUAGUGAUAUUCUUUUUGCAAGGAGCACUUGCGCUGAUUAGAUGAAUUUCAUUCCUCCUGUCUCAGUUUUGCUGAGUAAUAAUGGUUUGAGGGUGAUGUCAGUGCGUGGAUCUACUGUAGGAUUAUUUGAAAAUGAGUGACCAAUACUGAUCACUCUUUAGAUCUUGUUUCCAGAGCGUUAUCAAAGGUUGGAUGGUUUUGACUCUCUAAAGCAGAUUCGAUCGCAAGAGCGUGCUCAUAGCUGAUAGACUUGCUACUGAUUGGUAGAAAGGUUUGGUCCAAUAAUAUGUAUUUACGUCAUAGUACAAUAUGAUUGAUGGCAUGAGGAAUGAAAAUCAUAUGCUUUUCUUCAGAAGGUUCCCAUUUAAUGCUUUUUAUGAGAAUUUUUUUUUUCAAAAUCUUACUCAUAUAUUAUGUUUCUUUGCAUUGCUCAUGAAACUAUUAAAAUUCAAUGGUAGUUUUUUCAAGGAACUUAUGUUAUUGGCAUGAAAUAGUUCUCUGUGUACUAGCGAUCUUAUUGCUGCCUGCUUGCCUGAAAAAUGGCCACAUCACACUUAUAGGUUCGUAUUAUUCAGUAUGCUCACAUACAUAAGCUGACACUUUGUUAAAGAAGCAUAGGUUUGGCUCAGUCACACCGCCUCACUUGAUUUCACCAUUUUGGUGUUAAAUAGAAAAUCCAAGCUCCAGAGCUAUGCUCCGAAGUUUGUUAGUUAUAAGGGAAUUUGUAUGGAGUUAAGCAGAAGCACAUUGGACUUUAGCAAAAUGAUUAUUCUCUACUUCUAUUAAUUCGUAGUUAACUGAUUAUAUACCCUUCCAUUGCAGGUCCAGAUUGCAACACUUUUAUGUCCGCACAUAUCAGUCUAAGCUCUACAGAUUCAGGAGGUGCUCUCGGGUCACUUUUGCGGUUUAUGCCCCCAUUAGCUUGUAUCUCCGUCAAAUAAUCCAUGUUUUUUUUCCUUGGUGAGGUUUGCCAUCGAAUGAUGAAAUGCAUAUCCAGAGAUAAGGUAAAGAAUAGAUCUAUGUAGUAAAUAUAGAGGUACCUUGUUUUUUAUAUGCACGAAGCUCCCAUCGCAAUACUGAAGUUUAUAAUUCAAGUUUGAUCUAUAUAGAAAGUCUAUUAGUAACCCUAGGUGAAGAUUAAGUAAUUCUUCACCCCGGUCCAGACAACGAGCCGGACUCCCCGAUCGCACCACCCUGAGUCUACCGGUCGCCUUCAUACUGAUGUAAAAUUUUAUCCCGUGUGAUGUAAUUUUACGUGAAGUCAAGAGCCCACUCCGUCCCUAAUAAAGAAAAGAAAAAAACAAGGCCACACCCGAGAUGAAAAAAAAAGAGCGAACUCCCUCGUCCAAUUCUAAUCAGGGGCGAGUAAUAAUCUGAAAAAAGAAAAAAAAA